RNAcentral lists this ribosomal RNA (464 nucleotides) under uncultured bacterium. Its description in RNAcentral is "partial 16S ribosomal RNA". It matches the Rfam family "Bacterial small subunit ribosomal RNA", at positions 29 to 507 of the family's 1533-position model. The record is from RNAcentral.
ACGAACGCUGGCGGCGUGCUUCACACAUGCCAGUCGAACGGAAAGGCCCCUUUGGGGGUCCUCGAGUGGCGACCGGGUGAGUAACACGUGAGUAACCUGCCCUUGACUUCGGGAUAACUUCAGGAAACUGGGGCUAAUACCGGAUAGGAAUCCUUGCUGCAUGGUGGGGGUUGGAAAGCUUCGGCGGUUUUGGAUGGACUCGCGGCUUAUCAGCUUGUUGGUGGGGUAGUGGCUUACCAAGGCUUUGACGGGUAGCCGGCCUGAGAGGGCGACCGGCCACAUUGGGACUGAGAUACGGCCCAGACUCCUACGGGAGGCAGCAGUGGGGAAUAUUGCACAAUGGGCGGAAGCCUGAUGCAGCAACGCCGCGUGCGGGAUGACGGCCUUCGGGUUGUAAACCGCUUUCAGCAGGGGCGAAGCUUGUGGUGACGGUACCUGCAGAAGAAGCACCGGCUAACUACGUG